CCCUUCUCCUUAACGAUGGCAGCCUGCUCCAGCUUCUCUUUGGUGUCCAUCUCCCAUGACUCUUUGGCCUUCUCAAAGCUUUUCAGUGUGACCUCGUACACCAGCUCAGCGUUCGCCUGAAUGCCAUACUUGGGUUUCCCUGCCUCGCCGAAGCCGUAUCGUGGCCCCAGGUAGAGGAUGCAGUGCUCUCCCCUCUGCAUCUUCUCCAGUGCUUUGUCGAUGCCAAUAGGGAUGUCAUGGUCCUCCCCUUCGCCCACCACAAACUUCA
Molecule: long non-coding RNA, 268 nt
Filed under: Gallus gallus (chicken)
Lineage: Eukaryota; Metazoa; Chordata; Aves; Galliformes; Phasianidae
Source: RNAcentral